Molecule: non-coding RNA, 86 nt
Organism: Acanthosepion pharaonis
Lineage: Eukaryota; Metazoa; Mollusca; Cephalopoda; Sepiida; Sepiidae
Source: the annotation of a GenBank genome assembly
AUCCCCGUACGAUCGAUGAAGUUAAGCAACAUCGAGCCUGGUCAGUACCUUGAUGGGUGACUGCUUGGGAAUACCAGGUGCUGUAA